GGGUUGUGAGGUUAAGCGACUAAGCGUACACGGUGGAUGCCCUGGCAGUCAGAGGCGAUGAAGGGCGUGCUAAUCUGCGAUAAGCGCCGGUAAGGUGAUAUGAACCGUUAUAACCGGCGAUACCCGAAUGGGGAAACCCAGUGUGAUUCGUCACACUAUCAUUAACUGAAUCCAUAGGUUAAUGAGGCGAACCGGGGGAACUGAAACAUCUAAGUACCCCGAGGAAAAGAAAUCAACCGAGAUUCCCCCAGUAGCGGCGAGCGAACGGGGAGGAGCCCAGAGCCUGAAUCAGCAUGUGUGUUAGUGGAAGCGUCUGGAAAGGCGCGCGAUACAGGGUGACAGCCCCGUACACAAAAGCGCAUGUGCUGUGAGCUCGAUGAGUAGGGCGGGACACGUGGUAUCCUGUCUGAAUAUGGGGGGACCAUCCUCCAAGGCUAAAUACUCCUGACUGACCGAUAGUGAACCAGUACCGUGAGGGAAAGGCGAAAAGAACCCCGGCGAGGGGAGUGAAAAAGAACCUGAAACCGUGUACGUACAAGCAGUGGGAGCACAGGUUUACCUGUGUGACUGCGUACCUUUUGUAUAAUGGGUCAGCGACUUAUAUUCUGUAGCAAGGUUAACCGUAUAGGGGAGCCGGAGGGAAACCGAGUCUUAAUUGGGCGUUAAGUUGCAGGGUAUAGACCCGAAACCCGGUGAUCUAGCCAUGGGCAGGUUGAAGGUUGGGUAACACUAACUGGAGGACCGAACCGACUAAUGUUGAAAAAUUAGCGGAUGACCUGUGGCUGGGGGUGAAAGGCCAAUCAAACCGGGAGAUAGCUGGUUCUCCCCGAAAGCUAUUUAGGUAGCGCCUCGUGAAUUCAUCUCCGGGGGUAGAGCACUGUUUCGGCUAGGGGGCCAUCCCGGCUUACCAACCCGAUGCAAACUGCGAAUACCGGAGAAUGUUAUCACGGGAGACACACGGCGGGUGCUAACGUCCGUCGUGAAGAGGGAAACAACCCAGACCGCCAGCUAAGGUCCCAAAGUCAUGGUUAAGUGGGAAACGAUGUGGGAAGGCCCAGACAGCCGUGAUGUUGGCUUAGAAGCAGCCAUCAUUUAAAGAAAGCGUAAUAGCUCACUGGUCGAGUCGGCCUGCGCGGAAGAUGUAACGGGGCUAAACCAUGCACCGAAGCUGCGGCAGCGAACGUAUCACCCAAGACAACUUUACGGAGUUGACGAUUGACGGAGCGAAGCGACGUCAAAGCGUUCAUUAAAGUCGAGUUGGCUUAGGGAUACGUUCGUUGGGUAGGGGAGCGUUCUGUAAGCCUGUGAAGGUGUGUCGUGAGGCAUGCUGGAGGUAUCAGAAGUGCGAAUGCUGACAUAAGUAACGAUAAAGCGGGUGAAAAGCCCGCUCGCCGGAAGACCAAGGGUUCCUGUCCAACGUUAAUCGGGGCAGGGUGAGUCGACCCCUAAGGCGAGGCCGAAAGGCGUAGUCGAUGGGAAACGGGUUAAUAUUCCCGUACUUGGUGUUACUGCGAAGGGGGGACGGAGAAGGCUAUGUUGGCCGGGCGACGGUUGUCCCGGUUUAAGCGUGUAGGUGUGUUCCGUAAAUCCGGUUCACUUUAACACUGAGGCGUGACGACGAGGCACUACGGUGCUGAAGCAACAAAUGCCCUGCUUCCAGGAAAAGCCUCUAAGCAUCAGGUAACACGAAAUCGUACCCCAAACCGACACAGGUGGUCAGGUAGAGAAUACCAAGGCGCUUGAGAGAACUCGGGUGAAGGAACUAGGCAAAAUGGUGCCGUAACUUCGGGAGAAGGCACGCUGACACGUAGGUGAAGUGAUUUACUCAUGGAGCUGAAGUCAGUCGAAGAUACCAGCUGGCUGCAACUGUUUAUUAAAAACACAGCACUGUGCAAACACGAAAGUGGACGUAUACGGUGUGACGCCUGCCCGGUGCCGGAAGGUUAAUUGAUGGGGUCAGCGCAAGCGAAGCUCCUGAUCGAAGCCCCGGUAAACGGCGGCCGUAACUAUAACGGUCCUAAGGUAGCGAAAUUCCUUGUCGGGUAAGUUCCGACCUGCACGAAUGGCGUAAUGAUGGCCAGGCUGUCUCCACCCGAGACUCAGUGAAAUUGAACUCGCUGUGAAGAUGCAGUGUACCCGCGGCAAGACGGAAAGACCCCGUGAACCUUUACUAUAGCUUGACACUGAACAUUGAGCCUUGAUGUGUAGGAUAGGUGGGAGGCUUUGAAGUGUGGACGCCAGUCUGCAUGGAGCCGACCUUGAAAUACCACCCUUUAAUGUUUGAUGUUCUAACGUGGACCCGUAAUCCGGGUUGCGGACAGUGUCUGGUGGGUAGUUUGACUGGGGCGGUCUCCUCCUAAAGAGUAACGGAGGAGCACGAAGGUUGGCUAAUCCUGGUCGGACAUCAGGAGGUUAGUGCAAUGGCAUAAGCCAGCUUGACUGCGAGCGUGACGGCGCGAGCAGGUGCGAAAGCAGGUCAUAGUGAUCCGGUGGUUCUGAAUGGAAGGGCCAUCGCUCAACGGAUAAAAGGUACUCCGGGGAUAACAGGCUGAUACCGCCCAAGAGUUCAUAUCGACGGCGGUGUUUGGCACCUCGAUGUCGGCUCAUCACAUCCUGGGGCUGAAGUAGGUCCCAAGGGUAUGGCUGUUCGCCAUUUAAAGUGGUACGCGAGCUGGGUUUAGAACGUCGUGAGACAGUUCGGUCCCUAUCUGCCGUGGGCGCUGGAGAACUGAGGGGGGCUGCUCCUAGUACGAGAGGACCGGAGUGGACGCAUCACUGGUGUUCGGGUUGUCAUGCCAAUGGCACUGCCCGGUAGCUAAAUGCGGAAGAGAUAAGUGCUGAAAGCAUCUAAGCACGAAACUUGCCCCGAGAUGAGUUCUCCCUGAGACUUUAGGUCUCCUGAAGGAACGUUGAAGACGACGACGUUGAUAGGCCGGGUGUGUAAGCGCAGCGAUGCGUUGAGCUAACCGGUACUAAUGAACCGUGAGGCUUAACCUUACAACGCCGAAG
RNAcentral lists this ribosomal RNA (3009 nucleotides) under Salmonella enterica subsp. enterica serovar Typhimurium. Its description in RNAcentral is "23S ribosomal RNA". It matches the Rfam family "Bacterial large subunit ribosomal RNA". Lineage: Bacteria; Pseudomonadati; Pseudomonadota; Gammaproteobacteria; Enterobacterales; Enterobacteriaceae. The record is from RNAcentral.